AUUGAACGCUGGCGGCAGGCCUAACACAUGCAAGUCGAACGAGUGGCGGACGGGUGAGUAAUGUCUGGGAAACUGCCUGAUGGAGGGGGAUAACUACUGGAAACGGUAGCUAAUACCGCAUACCAUCGGAUGUGCCCAGAUGGGAGUAGCUAGUCGGUGGGGUAAAGGCUCACCUAGGCGACGAUCCCUAGCUGGUCUGAGAGGAUGACCAGCCACACUGGAACUGAGAGCCGGUCCAGACUCCUACGGGAGGCAGCAGUGGGGCAUAGUGCGCAAUGUGCGCAGACCUGUUGCAGCCAAGCCGCGUGUGUGAAGAAGGCCUUCGGGUUGUAGAGCACUUUCAGCGGCGAGGCGUUACCCGCAGAAGAAGCACCGGCUAACUCCGUGCCAGCAGCCGCGGUAAUAC
RNAcentral lists this ribosomal RNA (406 nucleotides) under uncultured bacterium. Its description in RNAcentral is "partial 16S ribosomal RNA". It matches the Rfam family "Bacterial small subunit ribosomal RNA", at positions 30 to 526 of the family's 1533-position model. The record is from RNAcentral.